This 1116-nucleotide long non-coding RNA is filed under the name Felis catus (domestic cat). RNAcentral's name for it is "lncRNA (ENSFCAG00000053368.1)". Lineage: Eukaryota; Metazoa; Chordata; Mammalia; Carnivora; Felidae. The record is from RNAcentral.
UUUCAAAUUUCUUUAUUUAUUUUUAUCAUCAGAAAUGUUUUGUAAGCCAAAUCUCAUGAAGAAAAACAGUGUAAAAUUUAUUGAAAUAUGAAUUAUACAAACCUAGGAGAUGGGUACAUGGGGUUUAUUAUAAUGUUCUUAAGGCUUUUGAAUAUGUCUUAAACUUUCUGAAAAGCAUAAAAGAAGUUAAGAGUAUAACUGUCCUGUUUGAACCAGGAGAUGGACAAUCUGAGGCCAGUCUACUUCUCUACUUAGCUGCCGGUUUAUAGAAUUCCCACAAUUCCUCAGAACAAACUUCAAAAUUUCUGCCAUUGACAAAUACUUCUGAAGUUUCUAUGAUCUAAUAAUUAAGUAUAAGCAGGAAUGUUGUGCAAUCACCAUGGAAAAUACUUUACAAUUACUAUUUUGUGAAUGCUUGUGACAAUCUGACAUGAUGGGUACUAUGAACAUCCUCAUUUUGCAAAUGGAGCAACUGUGGCUUGGAGAGGGCAUGUAAUUGGCUCAAGUUCAAGUAGCUGGUAAUUGAAGGAGCUGUGAUUCAAGCCCAGGCCGCCUGACUUCACAUUAAUAACUACAUUAAUUAGAGCAGUUGAUACUCAAGUUUACUUCAACAACAAAAAUAUAACAACCCCAAAUUCAAUCCUUUAUUCAGGAUGAGGAUUUUCCAGUUAACAAGCUAUUUGCACAAGAUAAGGAGUUUGUCCGCACACAUCAACAACAGCCAGAAGGAAAAAGAUCGUAUUCCGGUUCUCACCAGAGUCCCUUCAAUGAGAUGUCAAUCAAAGUAUAUACAGGACAAUAGUUGCAUCAUACCACCGAGGAAACAGCUUUCACGUACAUACCACAUCUCCAAUCAAAGGGUGGGGUUUCAUCCUUUCUUCUUGAAUUGGACUGGACCUUUAAGUGCUUACUGAUGUUCUGGAACUUUAAGUUGAAGCAAUAUGAAAGCCUGGCACCUUAUACUUCUUCCUUCUUGGAACGUGACUGCUAAGAUGCUACAUGGACAGCUUCAUAUGGUGAAUCAAGGUGCCAAAAUGACACCACCAGCUGAUGAGCCAUCUUGGCUGAAGCCGCAUGGAGCCGAGAUGUGCUUCCCUCCUUCCUUGUCAAGGUAAC